GUAAUGCAUCGGAACGUGCCCAGUCGUGGGGGAUAACGCAGCGAAAGCUGCGCUAAUACCGCAUACGAUCUAUGGAUGAAAGCGGGGGACCGUAAGGCCUCGCGCGAUUGGAGCGGCCGAUGUCAGAUUAGGUAGUUGGUGGGGUAAAGGCUCACCAAGCCAACGAUCUGUAGCUGGUCUGAGAGGACGACCAGCCACACUGGAACUGAGACACGGUCCAGACUCCUACGGGAGGCAGCAGUGGGGAAUUUUGGACAAUGGGCGCAAGCCUGAUCCAGCAAUGCCGCGUGCAGGAAGAAGGCCUUCGGGUUGUAAACUGCUUUUGUACGGAACGAAACGGUCUGAGUUAAUACCUCGGGCUAAUGACGGUACCGUAAGAAUAAGCACCGGCUAACUACGUGCCAGCAGCCGCGGUAAUACGUAGGGUGCAAGCGUUAAUCGGAAUUACUGGGCGUAAAGCGUGCGCAGGCGGUGAUGUAAGACAGUCGUGAAAUCCCCGGGCUCAACCUGGGAAUUGCGAUUGUGACUGCAUCGCUGGAGUGCGGCAGAGGGGGAUGGAAUUCCGCGUGUAGCAGUGAAAUGCGUAGAUAUGCGGAGGAACACCGAUGGCGAAGGCAAUCCCCUGGGCCUGCACUGACGCUCAUGCA
Molecule: ribosomal RNA, 647 nt
Filed under: uncultured bacterium
Lineage: Bacteria
Description: bacterial SSU rRNA
Rfam family: Bacterial small subunit ribosomal RNA
Source: RNAcentral